This is a long non-coding RNA of Quercus lobata, 5314 nucleotides long. RefSeq lists it as uncharacterized. The record is from RefSeq and is a predicted model, not a curated record. Lineage: Eukaryota; Viridiplantae; Streptophyta; Magnoliopsida; Fagales; Fagaceae. The transcript has 9 exons.
GUCUGAAAGACUCACUUUCAAACACCAACCCGCUCAUUAGAGUCCUCUUGGUAUAAAAGGAAAUUAAAUGCUGAAGACAAAAAACUAAGAUUGCUACACGGAUAAAAAAACGGAGAAAGAGAGACUGAGAGACAGAGAGAAAAGAGAGACGGAGAAAUAGAGAAGCAGAGAACGGUGGAGAGAGAGAUCGAGAGAUCAAAAACUGCACUCUCUAAAACUGAAACCCAAAACACACAAUCAUCCAUUCUUUCCAUUUGUUAACACAAACGGCCAAAAGAAAAGAUUUUCCCUACCGAUGAAGAAGAAAAAACAGAAGCCCAUUGAAAGAUUUCUUCACGGAGAAAGGAGAAAGAGCGAUCGAGAGAAAAGAGAGACAGAGAAAUAGAGAGGCAGAGAAAUAGAGAGGCAGAGAAAUAGAGAAGGGUGCCACCAAAUCUUCUGCCAUCAUUGUAAGGGCGCCUGCCUUGCGAUACAGAGAUGAGAAGGAGACAGAUAUUGAGAGAAUUACCACCGUUGCAGAAUACCGUUUCCCUGUGCCGAAUAAAGACAUUGGGACUUCUGCAAUAAAAGAAUUAAAAGGCACAGUUAGAUUUUAAUUUCUUUGGUUCUUGCUAGAAUUAAGAUCCUUAAUGAAUGCAAAGAUUGAAGUGUUCUCUUUACAUUUGAACUCACAUGACUCAAUUUGGAUUGUGACUUAUCAUGUUUAAAUAAGAAAAAAUAGAUUUUGAAUUGUAACGUAAUUAAUAUUUGCAUUCAUUGUUACUAUUUGUCUUUUAUUAUAUGUUUGUUUGAUGUCUUUGAGUUACAUUAGGUUUUGAUUUGAUUUUUUGAUUCGUUUUAGUUUCUCAAUAUACUAAAAACUUUUGUGAGUAUUUGGAUUCAAUUAAUUUUGUGUUUGAUUUUGGUUUAGUUUUAGGGUAUUUAUAAUUGGUUUUGGAUAAUCAAGGUUUAGAAAUCUUGAAAGCAUUGGUGUCUGAUGUUUGCUUCAUCUUUAUUGCGGUAAUUGUGCACUUCUAGAGGACUUUUUUUUUUUUUUUUUUCAAUAACCAACUUUUAGAGGACUUUAUAACAGUUAUUUUUUCACAUAAAUUUGAGAAGCGUUAGAUGAAUUUCUCAAAAUUGGCUGUUUAAAUGAAAGAUGGCAGUGUAUUGCGGCACAAUUUUAAGCCAAAAGAAGAGUUAAACAAACCUGUUUUAAUAUAUGGGUUCAUGCUCUGCACCCAUCUCCUCUUUGCAACAUAUAUGGAAGGUUUGCAUCAUCUCACUGUUUCUUCUCCUAUUCGAAUUAGCAUCUUCAAUAUAUCUAUAUUUUAACUUAAAAUAUGAUGCUUAUUCUUCAAUUGUUUUUCUUCUUGAAAUACUCUCUAUGCAGUUUAUUAAGUACUCUUUAUGCAGUUUAGAGUUUAUAAAUACAAAAACCCACAGAAAAAGUAAUGAGAGAGAGAGAGAGAGAUGGUAGUAAGGCACAAAGGGAAUGGCAUAGAUAUAAAUCUUAGACCACCACCACAGUUGGUCUCCAACCAUUGAAAUUGAGCGUUAAGUAUGAUUUAUGCUUGGGUAUUUGGUUGGAUUAGGCAUUUGGGUUAGAUUUGGUUUUGAUUCAGGUAUUUGGGUUCUCCAUGCUUGGCAUCAACUUCAUCAGGUCACUAAAUCUCUCUCUUUUUCUUUGUUUCUCUAAAACUGAAUUGUUGUGCUCUCUCUUUCUCUUUCUCAUUCUCCUUUUAAAAAAGAAAAAAAAAACAGAUUAUUAGCUUCUUUGAGAAUCUCAGGGACUCUGCAUGGGAUGCUUUUUUAGCGCAUGAGGUUUUGUUGAAUUCCCUUUUUUGUUUCCAUAGAAAGUAGCAUCUUAGAGAUUUUUGCUGCAAAUUUCAAAAUUAAAUGAAUUUGAAUUUUGGGUUUCUAUGUGGUCUUUUAAAGUUUGGAAUGAUUCUAGGAAUAUAGGACUGGCCUAGAAGAUCAGCGUUAAGUCAAACGGUCGACCUGUCAAGUCAAUUGUGCAUCAAGUGUUUCUCAAGAUGGAAGGUUGGCAUGCUUAUCCAUUGAAGGUUAUCAAGGCUUUACUAUGGCGUUUGAUUACUACAAAGGCAAUGCUUCAAUAAUUGAUGAUGUAUUUACAACACUUGGAUUAAAAAUUCAUGGUGACAAAAAUGUCCCUUAUGUGGGACAUUUUUAGGGUAUUAGUUCUUGGCAGGAAUUCCAUGAAUUCUAGAGAAAUACAUAAUGAGAGUUCCAAGUAGAAGACUUGGUCUUGGUGCCAAAGAAUAUAUUUCUCAGUGUGUUUGGCCAAAGAAAAUGUAUAUUAGAAGCUUCAAGGAUGAUGAGAACUCAUUAUAAAUGAAUUAUUACACUUUUGUUAAUAAGUUGAACAAUGGUGAGACAUCACCCUUUCAUUCUCUUUAUAAAGAUGUUUGUGGUUAAGCAAAAAUAUCUUCCUUCUAAACUCUAUUCCAUAGUGAUACAAUGAUUGGAAAAUUAUGCGCUGGGCAUAAUUUGGUGGUUUGCAUACAAGACUUUACUACUCUUAGGAGCACUAUUGGGUAUAUUUGUUAAAACAUCAAUACCAUGUAGCUCCUUGACAAUUAGUAUCUUUGUUGUAGCUAGCUGAAAAUAUUCAAUAAUUACUUUGAGGAAUGUACUUCAUAAUGAUUUGGAAAUUUAAGGGUGAUUUUUUUGCCUCAUGUUGAUGAAAUAUUUAGUUUUGGUAUCUAUUUCUCAAACCAUUUAUUGCUAUGUAGGAGUUAGGUUUCUUCUAGAAAAAAAAAAGGAUUUAGUUUAAUACUCACAAACCAAUCCAAUUACAUGCUCGCUCUCUUUCAAAGGAUGUGAAAUUAAUAAUUGUGCAUAUAACUUAACAAAAAUAAUUAAAUAAUCGUGAAUUCACCUACGCAACACAUACAUAUCAUUAAGUAAAUAUAAGAUAAGUGAACCUAAUUAAGUAAAUGUUUUACCACAUGUCAUAAAAAUUAGAUAAACUCAUAAUAUUCAAACUUAGUUACUUAUUCUAAUUAUGAAUUAUUGUUUGUCGAAGUUACUUAUAUAAGCUUCUACCAAAAAAAAAAAAAAAAGACCUAUUAUUUUUCUUGAAUAAUAAAUUCUUGGAGUAAAAAAACACUUUCUUUUUACUUGAGUGUAGUGGUAAAGGAAUAUUACAUUUUUUUUCUAAGAGAUCUAUUUAAAAUUUUGUUGAAACGGGCACAAAUUUCAAGAUUAGAAUUUUGAAAUCUCUAUAAAAAAAACUCCUUGAAUUUAGUUUUUUAUUUUUCUUGCAAGUAAUUAUUUCUUUUUUUUGUAUUAUCUUAAUAUAAAAUGUUUAAAUUUUCAGUAACCAUAUGUCUUUUGUAAUAAAUAAAAGUAUCCCGCACAUUGUGCGGGUUAUACUCUAGUUAUAUAUAAUAGCAGAAGCCUUUAUGAAGGUGCUGCCACGUUAGGAAAAAAGGGCUUCUUAAAAUGGUGACACGUAUACAAUUUUUCCUUUAAAAUACCGCACAGUGCACCGGUUUGAGAGAAUCUUAUAAAAACACAAACCCGCUUUAAAAACGAAAACCAAAAGGGAAAAACACAAACACCAUAUUUCCCGAUUGAAAUUUCAGACUCACUCUGACUUCCCGAUGAAACAGAGAGAGGCGAUGAGGACACGGAGAAAGAAGCAGAGAAGGAGAGGCGAUGAAAUCAAAAAGUUUCAAAAACCGAUUUUGCAGACCCAAAACCUAGGCAGAACGGUAAACAGAGAAGGCAUGGAGUGGGGACUGGGGAGAGAGAAAAAUCUGCCACAAUCAAAAGGGAAAGAGCGCAGAGUUCGUCUGAACCAUACACCGUCCGUUCCGUUGCCAGAUCUCGACCACCAGAUUGCCGGGAUUGACAUCGACAACGAGAAUGAUUGAGAGGGAUACAGAGACAAUGUUCGUGAAUGUUGCUGCCUCCAGCGUCAAAUUUGGCUUCCUACACCGUUAGUAGCCUCGCCAUAGAAGAAAAAUCUAUGGACCAUCAAUACUGUAAGACCAUAUAGCGAUAGAGUGAGAACUACCACCGCUGUGCCAAGAGGGAGAGUUGCGAAACCAAGAGAUAGUUAUGUUGAAGACAAUGGAAGAACAAGUGUAUUUCCAAAGUUUCAGAAUGAACAGGAGGUAGAUGUGAAAAACACACCGGCACAGUUUCGCUGCCCAAGAAUCAUGAUUUAGUCAUGAGCUGCAUUGAUAUGGAAUUCUUUCCAGCAUGACUUCCUCCAUUUUAUCCUUUCGAGAAGGUCUGUGUGGAACCGAACCUUUCAAAGUAACUACAAGUAUACAUCCUUCAAAGAGUCCGAAUGCAAGUGCUGCAAAAGUUCAUUGUUGCAUUGCUUCAGCAGUAUACAAUUAGCUUUUCUCCUGAAAAUUCUAUUGGUGAAGGUACGCUUGGUUGUGUUUAUAGGGGUAAGCUACCCGAUUGAGAGGUAAGAUUCUUUUAACUCAAUAAGAACUAAUUUGCCAGGAUGAUGGCGUGGCUGUUUGAUUGUGUGGCUUCUACUUCAGAAUGCCUCAUGAAUAAUAUAUAAAAGUAGUCCGCGCAUUGCGUGGGUCUUACGCUAGUUAUUUAUAAAAGAAGAGGAAGAUCAAUCUCCUAAACAAAAAUAAGAAAAACCAUCUGGGAGGUCAAGGAUUUAGUUGAGGAACAAAAUGAGCACGAGCUCUAUGCAACCAAUCAGAAAGAAAAGUAAGGAAGCCCUAAAUCCCUGCCACUAGGGGGGAGGGGCGGGGGGAAUCCACACUUACAAGAGACCUUGGAGGACAAAGAAAGGAUGUUCAGUGAGCACUAGGGGAUGCAAGCACGGAUUUUGAACUUUUUCCCUUUUUACACACUAAUUUGCCAAUGACCAACUUCUCAAAAUUUGUCCUUCAAAUAUUGCUCUAUUUGUCUUAGUCUAUAAUUAUUGGAGAAGCAAAUUAAGUUGAUGCUGGUGAAAAUCAUUAAGCAAUGAUGCCCCUCAGAUGGUUGUGUCAUACAUUCUGGUGCAAGAUAGCUAACUGAGAAAGCUCCAUAUGCAGAAUGGCAACAAAGCUUCCUUUCUCUCCUCCCUGAAGCUUUGUCCUUGGUUACAGAGCUCUAUACUCAAUUCAUCGACACAAAAAUGCUUCCAGAUGAAGCUUCAAUCAACAUCCUGAAUGUGACUUCCCAUUUCUUUUAGUUGUUUGAAUGUGAAUGACUAAUUAUCAAGUUUGUUAUAAUAAGGACAUGAUUUUUAAAGUCUUUAUUUUUAAAGUACUAAAUUGCUUGUGCUAAGAGGAAAAUUUUAUUUGUAGAAGCAGAUAAUAAAUAUAUACUAAUCAUUUAAGUUGUU